AGUGAACGCUGGCGGCAGGCUUAACACAUGCAAGUCGAACGGCAGCACAGUAAGAGCUUGCUCUUCCGGGUGGCGAGUGGCGGGCGGGAGAGGAAUACAUCGGAAUCUACUUUUUCGUGGGGGUUAACGUAGGGAAACUUACGCUAAUACAGCAUACGACCUACGGGUGAAAGCAGGGGAUCUUCGGACCUUGCGCGAUUGAAUGAGCCGAUGUCGGAUUAGUUAGUUGGCGGGGUAAAGGCCCACCAAGGCGACGAUCCGUAGCUGGUCUGAGAGGAUGAUCAGCCACACUGGAACUGAGACACGGUCCAGACUCCUACGGGAGGCAGCAGUGGGGAAUAUUGGACAAAGGGCGCAAGCCUGAUCCAGCCAUACCGCGUGGGUGAAGAAGGCCUUCGGGUUGUAAAGCCCCUUUGUUGGGAAAGAAAAGCAGCAGGUUAAUACCCCGCUGUUCUGACGGUACCCGAAGAAUAAGCACCGGCUAACUACGUG
RNAcentral lists this ribosomal RNA (492 nucleotides) under uncultured bacterium. Its description in RNAcentral is "partial 16S ribosomal RNA". It matches the Rfam family "Bacterial small subunit ribosomal RNA", at positions 29 to 507 of the family's 1533-position model. The record is from RNAcentral.